AUCGCUGGUUUUAGGCAUCGGCUGAACGGGCUUGUGAAGUUGAUAGGGCCGCAAGGAAGAAACCAAUGAGAAUGUUCUUUGACAAGCGCCGCGUACUUACGGAGGAUGCGCCGCGUAGGCCGUACCAGAACAAUGCCUCUACAGCAUCCUUCGAGUGCCCACUUCUCAAAGGGCUGCACUAUGGGCAGCGGAAGCUGUUGCUGUCGGAAGUGGAGUUUUUGGUACAGAUUUCCAUGCACGUCAAACGCCGCGGCAGCGGUGCGUCUCCGAAGAAGGUGCUUGUCGUGUACGCCGGCGCUGCUUGCGGACUUCAUUUACCGCUUAUCUUUUCUCUUUUUCCGGCGCUCGAUUUUGUUCUCAUUGACCCAGCACCGUUUUGCUCACGAGUCAAGGAGAUUGCGUCGAAGGAGGGGAGCUGUGUGCUGGAGCUCAUCGACGACUUCUGCACCGCGGAGCUGUGCUUGCGGAUUCGGCGUAGUUACCAGGAAACGCAUGACAUUUUCCUGGUGAGUGACAUCCGUUCCGGCCAACCUACGGGAAUGUCGAUGAAUCAGGAACACACGGACAUGAUCCAGCAAGACAACAACGCCCAGCGAGAGUGGUGUUUCUCCCUGGAGGUAGAGGCGGCAAUGCUGAAGUUUCACCCUCCUUAUCCGGCCGCCAAGGAUAGCGACCUGGCCAACUACAAGGCACAGGACGCGACGGUGGAGGAAUACACAUACCUGGACGGAACACAGCUGCUUGGGGUCUGGGCACCCAAAUCUUCCUCAGAGGUGCGCUUGAUCGUCGUCGGUCCGUUCAAGCGCGGCUACGCGGCGCCUACUCGACGCUACUACUGUACAGUGCACGAGGAGCAGUGCUACGCGUACAACACGGAUAAUAGGUACGAGAAGGACUGCGCGGCGGAGCGCCUCAUCCUGGAGACGUACCUCAGCGCUUUUCCCGGCGCGUCGAAAUCCGUCGAACAACUGUCCAAGACGCUCAGUGAGCAGCUGGAGUAUCCGCUGUUUUGCCCGCUCGAGCCAGGGUUCACAGAACAACAUGCACGGUGGGUGACACUGCUGUACUCGACCAGGAAUCCUGCUGCUCUCCAGUACUUUGACCUGCUAAAGAACUACAUGUCCGUCGAGCAGGUGGCAGGCCUUGUGACGAAGUACAAGGACUGCUGCGAGAUCCCUACUGGAGUUAAAGUCGGCGAUAUCGAGUUGAAACCUCGUUUUUGGUCCGUCUUUGCAGCCGGUGACUUUGCUGUCGUGUACUGCUUCCCCGCCGUUCGAUGGGGAUGGAAACAGCACGCGGAUCGACGCCAGCCGAACAAGCAUGAAGACGACGGCAGAAAGAACCAUCGCAGGUUCGCCGGGAAAAAGCGAAGGGCAAACGCCGCUUGACAGGCAACAGCCGAGGAGCGCGCGAAAGACGCUGGUGCUGUUCUCUCUGGCCGCCUACGGCAACAGUCUUGGGCGCUGCUCGCGAAGAAGCUUCUUGAGUCACUGCCUCGCAGGCUACGCAGGGCGAGAGAGGGGGAAAUGAGGCGAAGUAUCGCUGAAUUCCGUCGAGCGAUGCGUUUUGCGUUGGACUGCGCUUGUCUCUCGGAGGCAGUGCGCAACAAGGGAAAGAAGAAAAAACGGAGCGCAACAGAGUCGAAUCGCGGGAGUAGCCGGGCUACUGAAAAUAGUGCAGGUUCAGAGAGAGGCUCUCGAGCCGAUGGCACGGAAGUUUCUCUCUGUUUUUUUUUCUCUCAGAUGCUGCGGAAAAGCCUGCCUUGAGAUCUCCCCUCCCAUCUCCACCACGUUUUCCAGCACAGUGUCACUCGGUCUUCAUCACUGCUGGCAAAGUUGGCCGAGGUGGGGAGGGUGUAGCGAUGUGUAUGCGGGCAAGUGAGCACAGAGAUCAUGAUAUCUGAAGUACAG
RNAcentral lists this unclassified non-coding RNA (1910 nucleotides) under Leishmania donovani. RNAcentral describes it as "gene:LdHU3.24.0130(CDS-product:Poly_A_polymerase_ regulatory_subunit_putative)". The record is from RNAcentral. Lineage: Eukaryota; Euglenozoa; Kinetoplastea; Trypanosomatida; Trypanosomatidae.